AAAAAAAUUUAAAAUCGUCGUUCGAAAAAGUAUUUUUUUUAUAAAUAACAAUUAAAAAUAUAAAUUUGGUAAUAACGCGCCAACGGUCGAAAUUUUAAAAAACGUUUGUUAAUUUAAAAAAAAUAUAAGGGAAACGUUCGGGACGAAAAGUUUAUAACGAUUAUAAUAAUUGUAAUUUUAAACGGUAAAAUAUCGUUUUUGCGUUUGCGAAAUAUUACGGUGGUCGUUCCGGUAUUAUUAUUUCGGCCGGUUUUUAUUUCGUUUUUAAACAAUUUUUUGGCGUUAUAUAAAUUGUAAACGCGUAAAAAUAAUAUUAUAAAUUUAAAAAUAAUAAUUAGAUUGGAAAAACGUUAAAAAAAUAUUUUAAAAAAAAAAUUCCGGAACAAUUAUUAUAAAAAUAUUUUAUAUUGGUUUGCACAAAUAUCCCUAUUUAUAUUUCGUAUAAUAUCCGGAAAACGGAUCCGUAUCGAAAUAAAUUCCAAAACGACCAACCGCAAUUUGUUUUUUUACAAAUAAAAAGAUAUUAGUGUCACGUAUCUGCCCGACGAUAUAACAGAUACGACAAAUGGAUCAAAAGAUCCUGCAGUACCUGCACUUAGCAGAUACCUCGUCGGUCCCAAUUAUAAAGCUUUGUCACACGAACGUGACAAUUAGCGGUGCGAAAAAAAACAAAAAGGACCAAAAAAACGUACCGUCGUUAAAUAUAACGUCGAAUUUAAUUAACAAUCGGUUAAAAUAAUUGGAAAAACGAAAACGAUAAAAAGUAAACGGCAAAAAAACAAAAAUAAUAAUUUUUGGCGUUUUAAUUUAAAUGGUAAUAAUAACGAGGUAUAAAUAAAUUAAAAUAUCGUCGAAUUUAUAACGAAAAAAGCUUUUUUUUAUAAAUAAAAUAAUUAUUAAGAAAUUUGCAAUUAAUUAAAAAAACGUUGUAAUCGUCGAAUAAUAAAAUAAAUAAAUAAUAAAAACGUUAAACAAAAUUAUUUAUACCUAUUAUUUUCGGGGGUACGCUGUAACCUAAAUAACGCCCACAAUAAAAAUUCCAUAACCGGUUCCGGGAAAUAUAAAAAAUUCGGCCAAAAUAACAAAAUAACGAUUAAAAAAUUUAACAAAAAUUAAAAGGUCGAUACAAUUGUUUUCAAAUUUUUCGUA
Molecule: small RNA, 1149 nt
Filed under: Pyricularia oryzae
Lineage: Eukaryota; Fungi; Ascomycota; Sordariomycetes; Magnaporthales; Pyriculariaceae
Description: Magnaporthe oryzae sRNA M_BR32_EuGene_00128161
Source: RNAcentral